Bos taurus (domestic cattle) is the source of this 72-nucleotide non-coding RNA. NCBI's taxonomy places the organism in Eukaryota, Metazoa, Chordata, Mammalia, Artiodactyla, Bovidae. The record is from Rfam.
UCCCUGGUGACCUGGUGGUUAAGAUUUGGCACUUUCACUGCCAUGGCCCAGGUUCAAUCCCUGGUUAGGAAC